AUCCAGAUGACUAGUCCCAAUAUAGGACGAGACGUGAGUCCUGGAU
Molecule: non-coding RNA, 46 nt
Filed under: Schistosoma margrebowiei
Lineage: Eukaryota; Metazoa; Platyhelminthes; Trematoda; Strigeidida; Schistosomatidae
Source: RNAcentral